RNAcentral lists this ribosomal RNA (253 nucleotides) under uncultured bacterium. Its description in RNAcentral is "partial 16S ribosomal RNA". It matches the Rfam family "Bacterial small subunit ribosomal RNA", at positions 524 to 776 of the family's 1533-position model. The record is from RNAcentral.
UACGAAGGGGGCUAGCGUUGCUCGGAAUCACUGGGCGUAAAGCGCACGUAGGCGGCUUUCUAAGUCAGGGGUGAAAGCCCCCGGCUCAACUGGGGAGGGUCAUUCGAUACUGAUCGACUCGAAGGCAGGAGAGGGUAGUGGAAUUCCCGGUGUAGUGGUGAAAUGCGUAGAUAUCGGGAGGAACACCAGUGGCGAAGGCGACUACCUGGCCUGUUCUUGACGCUGAGGCGCGAAAGCUAGGGGAGCAAACGGG